This 104-nucleotide antisense RNA is filed under the name Nitrosospira multiformis ATCC 25196. Its description in RNAcentral is "Vibrio RNA AS9". It matches the Rfam family "Vibrio RNA AS9". From Rfam's summary of the family: Identified by direct cloning an parallel sequencing experiments with 5S/tRNA depletion. Confirmed by Northern blot. The record is from Rfam by way of RNAcentral. Lineage: Bacteria; Pseudomonadati; Pseudomonadota; Betaproteobacteria; Nitrosomonadales; Nitrosomonadaceae.
CUGGCGGCAACGUUCCUCCAUCAACGUCAGGCAGAUCAGGCCGCGUCCGUACGUUGCCAUGAAGUUGAUGGCUGCCGGUGUAAUGAAAUCCGCCGCCAGAACCA